RNAcentral lists this ribosomal RNA (406 nucleotides) under uncultured bacterium. RNAcentral's name for it is "partial 16S ribosomal RNA". It matches the Rfam family "Bacterial small subunit ribosomal RNA", at positions 28 to 526 of the family's 1533-position model. The record is from RNAcentral.
GAUGAACGCUAGCUACAGGCUUAACACAUGCAAAUCGAGGGACCGGCGCACGGUGGCGUAACACGUAUCUUCCCUGCCCUUUACUCGGGGAUAGCCUUUCGAAAGAAAGACUAAUUCCCUCUAAAAAGGAUGGGGAUGCGUUCCAUUAGGUUGUUGGUGAGGGAACGGCUCACCCAGCCUUCGAUGGAUAGGGGUUCUGAGAGGAAGGUCCCCCACAUUGGAACUGAGACACGGUCCAAACUCCUACGGGAUGCAGCAGUGAGGAGUAUGGGGCAAUGGGCGGUAGCCUGAACCAGCCAAGUAGCGUGAAGGAUGAAGGCUUAUGGGUCGUAAACUUCUUUUAUAUAAGAAUAUGUAUUAGAUGAAUAAGGAGCGGCUAACUCCGUGCCAGCAGCCGCGGUAAUUC